AGCAAGCCAAUGGUACUUCGUGUGCCUAAGCAAAGAGAUUGAGUUGAAUGCGAAGGUCAGUGGACACCCCGACUUUUUAUUCUGAAAUAUGGACAUUUUGAAAUAAAUCUAGCAUAUUAA
Molecule: long non-coding RNA, 120 nt
Organism: Mercenaria mercenaria
Lineage: Eukaryota; Metazoa; Mollusca; Bivalvia; Venerida; Veneridae
Exons: 2
Source: RefSeq, a predicted model, not a curated record